UCUAAAUGUGAGGGGUAUUGUGCUGUGAAGAGAGGGAAUGGCAUAGGACAUUCUCUUAAAGCUUUUCUUGCUUCAGACUGCAGUGGUUUCUAGCAGGGCUGGAUGGGAAGGGAAUUGUAACCUCUGUAGUAACCAGUAAGUCUGGUCUCAACACGUCAGGCAGACACUCAGUCUUCAGAGGAAUUACCUCUGAGAGCUAGGGUGUUCUUGGUAACUUAGGGCUUCUGUGUCAGUCUCCACAAGGAAGCCACAGUCAGCAUUGUGUUCUGUGGGAAACCUGCAGGGGCUGAUCACUCGUGGUAGUUCUGUCUUCGCCUCUCACUGGAGAUAGUGAGCUGAUAGAGUGCAGGCACCAGAGGGUAGAGGUGAAUGGAAUGGAAAUGUAGAUGGAAAUGUGACCAGCACGUGUGAUGGUCUCUCCAUGGCAGACAGAGCUCUGCAUGUGUGAGAAACAGACUGCGGAACAGGACUUGGCUUGAUGGCCACCAGCUCUUCUACAAAAAGGGAGGGUCAUGCGGAGACUGUAGCCAAGUACAAGGUGCAUGCAACUGUCAUCUGGACAUUUGUCCAAUCCACGUUGACAUUUGAGGAAUCCUAGAGUGUGAGAAUGAACUUGGAGGAGAACUGGUGAAAUCCCAUCCAGUGAGCGUCUUCAAACUCUGGUCACCGAAGGGAACAGUAUCAGGUCCAAAGAUCACCCAGCCAGUGAAUGAGCUCAGGUACC
This is a long non-coding RNA of Carlito syrichta (Philippine tarsier), 724 nucleotides long. RefSeq lists it as uncharacterized. Lineage: Eukaryota; Metazoa; Chordata; Mammalia; Primates; Tarsiidae. The transcript is spliced from 3 exons. The record is from RefSeq and is a predicted model, not a curated record.